CACGGGGGGAGCAAGCGUCGUUCGGAUUCAUUGGGCGUAAAGGGCUCGUAGGUGGCUUUGUAAGUCGGAGGUGAAAUCCCACGGCUCAACCGUGGACACGCCUUCGAAACUGUGAAGCUUGAGGCUGGGAGAGGAAAUCGGAAUUCCUGGUGUAGCGGUGAAAUGCGUAGAUAUCAGGAGGAACACCGGUGGCGAAGGCGCUCAUCUGGCCCGAUACUGACGCUGAGGCGCGAAAGCUAGGGUAGCGAACGGG
This 253-nucleotide ribosomal RNA is filed under the name uncultured bacterium. RNAcentral's name for it is "partial 16S ribosomal RNA". It matches the Rfam family "Bacterial small subunit ribosomal RNA", at positions 524 to 776 of the family's 1533-position model. The record is from RNAcentral.